This 1788-nucleotide long non-coding RNA is filed under the name Ornithorhynchus anatinus (platypus). RNAcentral's name for it is "lncRNA (ENSOANG00000043852.1)". Lineage: Eukaryota; Metazoa; Chordata; Mammalia; Monotremata; Ornithorhynchidae. The record is from RNAcentral.
AUGUGUAAGAUCGAAUUUACAAGGCCUGCUUUUCCUCCGGUCUCUCUCGCGGUUGACGAGAACCCUUUGCCCACCCUCGCUCCUUCUGAGAGUCCUUGCUCCUUUCGACGAGUCCGCCCUCCUCCUCUGAGAGAAGCAGCGUGGCUCGGUGGAAAGAGCCCGGGCUUGGGAGUCGGAGGUCAUGGGUUCGAAAGCCGCCUCCGCCACUCGUCAGCUGUGGGACUGUGGGCGAGUCACUUCGCUUCUCUGGGCCUCGGUGACCUCAUCUGUAAAAUGGGGAUGAAGCCUGGGAGCCUCACGCGGGACAACCCGAUGACCCCCUUAUCUACCUCAGCGCUUAGAACAGAAACGAUUGGAUCUGCGUGCCGUAGAAAGCGAAGCGGGGAGGGGAGAGAGACCCAAGAAUUGACUCACCUUUUCGUUUUCUCUAGGAAUUUGUUUGCUAGAAAACAAAAUGCAAGACUUGACAGACAGAAUGACUUGGGAUGGAAGUUGUUCGGAAAAGUCCCCCUCCGAGAGAAUUCUCAGAAAGAUUCGAAGAAAAUACAAAAGGAAUAUGAAGAGAGAGCCGGCCGCCCUCACAAGCCCCCGUCCCCGAAGCAGAACGUGAGGAAGAACCUGGAUUUUGAACCCCUCUCCACCACCGCCCUCAUCCUCGAAGACAGACCGGCAAACCUCCCUGCCAAACCCGCCGAAGAAGCUCAGAAACACAGGCAGCAGUACGAAGAGAUGGUGGUUCGGGCCAAAAAACGAGAACUCAAAGAAGCCCAGAGGAGGAAAAAGCAACUGGAAGAAAGAUGUAAACUGGAAGAAAGCAUCGGCAACGCCGUCCUGACGUGGAACAACGAAAUCCUCCCCAACUGGGAGGCCAUGCGCGGCUCCCGGAAGGUGCGGGAGCUCUGGUGGCAGGGCAUCCCGCCCAGCGUCCGAGGCAGAGUCUGGAGCUUGGCCAUAGGAAACGAACUCAAUAUCACCCACGAACUCUACGAUAUCUGCCUAGCUCGAGCCAAAGAGAGAUGGCGAUCCCUCAGCUCCGGAACCACCGAAUUGGAAAACGAAGACGCGGGGUUUUCGGCAGCGGACCGGGAAGCCAGCCUGGAGCUCAUCAAACUGGACAUUUCCCGCACGUUUCCCAAUCUCUGUAUCUUCCAGCAAGGCGGUCCGUACCAUGACGUGUUGCACAGUAUUUUGGGGGCGUAUACUUGUUACAGACCAGAUGUCGGUUACGUUCAAGGCAUGUCAUUCAUAGCGGCCGUGCUCAUUUUGAAUUUGGAUUCUGCCGACGCCUUCAUCGCAUUUUCUAACCUUUUGAAUAAACCCUGUCAGAUGGCGUUUUUCCGGGUGGAUCACGGCCUCAUGUUGACUUACUUCGCAGCGUUUGAGGUGUUCUUUGAGGAAAAUCUGCCAAGGUUAUUUGCCCAUUUCAAGAAAAAUAACCUGACUCCGGAUAUCUACCUGAUUGAUUGGAUCUUCACCUUGUACAGCAAGUCUCUGCCGCUGGACCUGGCCUGCCGGGUCUGGGACGUGUUCUGCCGGGACGGGGAAGAGUUUCUGUUCCGGACGGCCCUGGGCAUCCUGAAACUCUUCGAAGACAUCUUGACGAAGAUGGACUUCAUCCACAUAGCCCAGUUCCUCACGAAGCUCCCGGAGGACUUGCCUGCCGAAGAAUUCUUUACGUCUAUUGCGGCGAUCCAGAUGCAGAGCAGAAACAAAAAAUGGGCUCAGGUGAACACGGGCCUCUUGUCUUCUUUGUCGGGUGGGGGUGGGGGCGGGGCGCUUAUUUCUUAG